Marmota marmota marmota (Alpine marmot) is the source of this 163-nucleotide small nuclear RNA. Its record names the gene U1. It matches the Rfam family "U1 spliceosomal RNA". From Rfam's summary of the family: U1 is a small nuclear RNA (snRNA) component of the spliceosome (involved in pre-mRNA splicing). Its 5' end forms complementary base pairs with the 5' splice junction, thus defining the 5' donor site of an intron. There are significant differences in sequence and secondary structure between metazoan and yeast U1 snRNAs, the latter being much longer (568 nucleotides as compared to 164 nucleotides in human). NCBI's taxonomy places the organism in Eukaryota, Metazoa, Chordata, Mammalia, Rodentia, Sciuridae. The record is from Ensembl.
AUACUUACCUGGCAAGAAAGAUACCAUGAUCACAAAGGUGGCUUUCCAAAGACAAGACUUAUCCAUUGUACCCCAGAAGUGCCCAGCCCUGCAUUUUUCAAAUGUGAGAAACUCAGCUGCAUAAUUUGGGGGAUAGUGGGGACUGUAUGUGCUAUCUUCCCUA